Saccostrea echinata is the source of this 1079-nucleotide long non-coding RNA. RefSeq lists it as uncharacterized. The transcript has 6 exons. NCBI's taxonomy places the organism in Eukaryota, Metazoa, Mollusca, Bivalvia, Ostreida, Ostreidae. The record is from RefSeq and is a predicted model, not a curated record.
UCUACGAGGCAACAAAAUUCCGCCAAGAAUAAACAAAGAGAUUGCGGGAUGUUGUUUACGUGUGUCACUUGACACUAACUGCAAGAAACAAAGAGUGGAGAGCUAAUGCAUGGUGCGAAGUAUGGAAAGGUCUCUUGUGGUUUGGUUGUGCCAGAGACAAAUGUGCAUUAUUUCCAUGUUGGGUCAGAAGUCUCGGUACACUUUAAGUGAGUGGCAGUUGGGUAGAUGGAUAGUUUGAGAUGAAGAAGUUCUUGUAAAUGAUUGAAAGUGAUCAUCAUAGAAUCAACUCCAUUAUGAAGAUAAAUUAUGAGAGUCAGAAAGAACUACGGAAGUAAAUUAUGGCAACAAUAAGGAGUGGUAAAGGAGAUGGAGAAGUAGGUAACAUACAUUUUAAAUGCAUUUUUUAUUGAAUAAUAUAAGUCAAAUGUUAAUUAAAAACUAUAAUAAUUUGCAAAGCACUAAGUGAGACGUAUUAAAUAUAUGCAAUGAUGCAUCCUUUAUAAGAGGUGAUUAGAUCAGAGGCUGAUCUAAGCCAGGAGGAAUUGGAUACAUUUUUUUGAAAAAGUGUCUUACAACCCAGACUUCCAGGUAACAUAUGCUUACAUAAUUCUUCAUUCUGAUACGGUUCGAUUUUAAUAUAUCUCUUUAUAAUGACGGAACCAUGUGAAUUUUGUAUUUAGUUACCAGCAAGCGACCGCUUUGAUGUCAACCCUCACAAUCCUCAACUUAUGAGGAUACGGAUGAGGAAAAUGGGUGGACACUUUCCCCAUGUUGUGAAUUAUCAACCGAGGAGGAAAAUUAAUAUCAAGAAAAGGAGGAAGAUGAAGAAGAAGAUGAAGACUUUAAAAGAGCAAUGGAAGAGGCAGAAAAAGAUGACGAUCCCGAUUAUGUUCCGAAGAAGAGGAGGAGGAUGACGGAGGUGACUUAGAGGAGGAGAUAUUCAAGAUUGCGAAAGCCAGAAGGUUGUCCAUUCCUCUAGUCCUCUGUUACGAAACCAGAACAGUGGAGACGAGGGCCAAAAGACCAGCCUGAUUAUGAUUGUAUUAGCUUGCAAGUCUGCCUUGAAAAUUCAUUAUUAA